CCCUUAGAUGUUCUGGGCCGCACGCGUGCUACACUGAGUGGAUCAGCGGGUCAGGUUGCGCGAAAGUGUUUCCUAAUCUUUAAAUCCGCUCGUGAUGGGGAUUGACGGUUGCAAUUUUCCGUCAUGAACGAGGAAUACCUUGUAAGCGCGGGUCAUCAUCCCGCGCUGAAUACGUCCCUGCCCUUUGUACACACCACCCGUCGCUCCUACCGAUUGAGUGGUCCGGUGAGGCUUUGGGAUCUGGGCGGAAAGAGCGUUUCGCUGUUUCUGCCCGGAAAACUCAGUCGAACCUUAUCAUUUAGAGGAAGGAGAAGUCGUAACA
This 322-nucleotide ribosomal RNA is filed under the name uncultured eukaryote. Its description in RNAcentral is "partial 18S ribosomal RNA". It matches the Rfam family "Eukaryotic small subunit ribosomal RNA", at positions 1470 to 1796 of the family's 1831-position model. The record is from RNAcentral.